AUGUUAAAAUUUACCAUGUGCUCUAACACAGUGGGAACUGUAAGGUUUUUAUUCUAUUUGCAUAUGCUGGUCAUUUUGGAACAUAUAUUCUAUAACUUUAAUCAGGUAUACUUUUCCUUGUUAAAUAUGAUGGUUAAGAUGAUAAUUAUUUUCUCACUUAUGUUGUUGUUGGAUGCUCUGAUUGUGAGCCUUUGUCUGUUUUACUCUCUACAUCAUCGCAUGACAUCUAAUCAACAUAAAAUUGUGUGCGUGAUAUAUGUUCCAUCACAUCUUAAAAUGAGUGUAAACUGCAGUGUAUGCGGGAUAUGUUGA
This 312-nucleotide ribosomal RNA is filed under the name Triticum aestivum (bread wheat). RNAcentral describes it as "partial small subunit ribosomal RNA". Lineage: Eukaryota; Viridiplantae; Streptophyta; Magnoliopsida; Poales; Poaceae. The record is from RNAcentral.